UACGUAGGUGGCAAGCGUUGUCCGGAAUUAUUGGGCGUAAAGCGCACGUAGGCGGUCUGUUAUGUCGGCUGUGAAAGCCCUUGGCUCAACUGAGGAAGUGCAUCCGAAACUGGCAGGCUAGAGUACGUAAGAGGGUCGCGGAAUUCCCGGUGUAGAGGUGAAAUUCGUAGAUAUCGGGAGGAACACCGGUGGCGAAGGCGGCGACCUGGGACGAUACUGACGCUGAGGUGCGAAAGCGUGGGGAGCAAACAGG
This 253-nucleotide ribosomal RNA is filed under the name uncultured bacterium. RNAcentral describes it as "partial 16S ribosomal RNA". It matches the Rfam family "Bacterial small subunit ribosomal RNA", at positions 524 to 776 of the family's 1533-position model. The record is from RNAcentral.